AGGCCAUGGUGUGGGCAUAAUCUCAUUAACUCCUUGAACUUGUUCCAAGCCUCAUACAAUGAUUCACCAUAUUUUAAAAAAAAACUAGUGAUUUGGUUCCGCAACU
Small nucleolar RNA from Dioscorea cayenensis subsp. rotundata (Guinea yam), 106 nucleotides. The record is from RefSeq and is a predicted model, not a curated record. NCBI's taxonomy places the organism in Eukaryota, Viridiplantae, Streptophyta, Magnoliopsida, Dioscoreales, Dioscoreaceae.